GAUGAACGCUGGCGGCGUGCCUAAUACAUGCAAGUCGAGCGAACGGACGAGAAGCUUGCUUCUCUGAUGUUAGCGGCGGACGGGUGAGUAACACGUGGAUAACCCACCUAUAAGACUGGGAUAACUUCGGGAAACCGGAGCUAAUACCGGAUGAUAUUUUGAACCGCAUGGUUCAAAAGAGAAAGACGGUCUUGCUGUAACUUAUAGAUGGAUCCGCGCUGCAUUAGCUAGUAGGUCAGGUAACGGCUUACGAAGGCAACGAUGCAUAGCCGAACUGAGAGGGUGAUCGGCCACACUGGAGCUUGGCCACGGUCCAGGCUCCUACGGGAGGCCGCAGUAGGGAAUCUUCCGCAACGGGCGAAAGCCUGACGGAGCAACGCCGCGUGAGUGAUGAAGAUCUUCGGAUCGUAAAACUCUGUUAUUAGGGAAGAACAUAUGUGUAAGUAACUGUGCACAUCUUGACGGUACCUAAUCAGAAAGCCCCGGCUAACUACGUG
This 497-nucleotide ribosomal RNA is filed under the name uncultured bacterium. RNAcentral's name for it is "partial 16S ribosomal RNA". It matches the Rfam family "Bacterial small subunit ribosomal RNA", at positions 28 to 507 of the family's 1533-position model. The record is from RNAcentral.